UAAGCCUAAUGUCAAAAACAUCACCAAAUUUAUGUCCUUCCAGUUUUUGUUCCAUUUCUUCCCAGAAUAGCAGCAGACUUUUUUCAGUGGGACACUCACAAGAGUGGAGACUUGAUCUCCCAGUCGGUGCUGAUGUUGGCGGUGCCGUGGUUAGUCAGUGCCUUGAUCCCCACCCCAGGCACAAAGGCUAAUGAAGUAUUUGGAAAUGAAAAGGCAUUGAUUUUUAUGCUGUAGAACAAGAAACAGAGAGGCAAUCACUCAGAGGAAGGUUUACUCAUGGGUAGGCUGAGAAGACAAAAUGAGAUCAUCUAUGCAUAACUGUGGCACAGGAGAAAGACAUUGUUCUGAACCAAGGCUUGACAAACGGAUUUGAUGGCUGAGCUGCCGUGGCCAUACUGGACCAUGAGACAACUUUGAGGACAGAAGCCAGAAGUAAGGAUGGUGGGGCAGAGAAAUACAAGAAGCCUGGGUUCUGAUGAAAUCAUGGGACUUCCAAAGGAUUUCUCUAGUCUUACUUUUGAGCUUCUUAUGUGUGGCCUAUUUCUACCUCUGAAACCUUAACCAAACUUUACUAAAGUAAGGAAAGCCUUG
Long non-coding RNA from Acinonyx jubatus (cheetah), 591 nucleotides. RefSeq lists it as uncharacterized. The record is from RefSeq and is a predicted model, not a curated record. The transcript is spliced from 3 exons. NCBI's taxonomy places the organism in Eukaryota, Metazoa, Chordata, Mammalia, Carnivora, Felidae.